This 380-nucleotide ribosomal RNA is filed under the name uncultured bacterium. Its description in RNAcentral is "bacterial SSU rRNA". It matches the Rfam family "Bacterial small subunit ribosomal RNA", at positions 524 to 906 of the family's 1533-position model. The record is from RNAcentral.
UACGGAGGAUCCGAGCGUUAUCCGGAUUUAUUGGGUUUAAAGGGUGCGUAGGCGGUUUAUUAAGUCAGGGGUGAAAGACGGCAGCUUAACUGUCGCAGUGCCUUUGAUACUGAUGAACUUGAAUGUACUAGAAGUAGGCGGAAUGUGACAAGUAGCGGUGAAAUGCAUAGAUAUGUCACAGAACACCGAUUGCGGAGGCAGCUUACUAUGGUAUGAUUGACGCUGAGGCACGAAAGCGUGGGGAUCAAACAGGAUUAGAUACCCUGGUAGUCCACGCCCUAAACGAUGAACACUCGAUGUUGGCGAUAUACGGUCAGCGUCAAAGCGAAAGCGUUAAGUGUUCCACCUGGGGAGUACGCCCGCAAGGGUGAAACUCAAAG